UUGGAGGGCAAGUCUGGUGCCAGCAGCCGCGGUAAUUCCAGCUCCAAUAGCGUAUAUUAAAGUUGUUGCAGUUAAAAAGCUCGUAGUUGAAUUUCGGGGUCAGUAGGUUGGUCAUGCCACUGGUAUGUACUGGUCUCACUGAUUCCUCCUUCCUGAUGAGCCGUAAUGCCAUUAAUUUGGCGUUGCGAGGAAUCUGGACUGUUACUUUGAAAAAAUUAGAGUGUUUAAAGCAAGCUAACGCUUGAGUACAUUAGCAUGGAAUAAUGAAAUAGGACGUUCGAUCCUAUUUUGUUGGUUUCUAGGAUUGACGUAAUGAUUAAUAGGGAUAGUUGGGGGCAUUAGUAUUCAAUUGUCAGAGGUGAAAUUCUUGGAUUUAUUGAAGACUAACUACUGCGAAAGCAUUUGCCGAGGAUGUUUUCAUUAAUCAAGAACGAAAGUUAGGGGAUCGAGGACGAUCAGAUACCGUCGUAGUCUUAACCAUAAACUAUGCCGACUAGGGAUCGGAUGAUGUUAAUUUUUUAAUGACUCAUUCGGCGCCUUACGGGAAACCAAAGUGUUUGGGUUC
Molecule: ribosomal RNA, 565 nt
Filed under: uncultured Glomeromycotina
Lineage: Eukaryota; Fungi; Glomeromycota
Description: SSU rRNA
Rfam family: Eukaryotic small subunit ribosomal RNA
Source: RNAcentral